UACGAAGGGGGCUAGCGUUGUUCGGCAUUACUGUGCGUAAAGCGCGCGCAGGCGGUCUUCCAAGUCAGUGGUGAAAGCCUGGAGCUCAACUCCAGACCUGCCAUGGAAACUGUUAGACUUGAGUACGAGAGAGGUGAGUGGAAUUCCCAGUGUAGAGGUGAAAUUCGUAGAUAUUGGGAAGAACACCAGUGGCGAGGGCGGCUCACUGGCUCGUAACUGACGCUCAGGCGCGACAGCGUGGGGAUCAAACAGG
RNAcentral lists this ribosomal RNA (253 nucleotides) under uncultured bacterium. RNAcentral's name for it is "partial 16S ribosomal RNA". It matches the Rfam family "Bacterial small subunit ribosomal RNA", at positions 524 to 776 of the family's 1533-position model. The record is from RNAcentral.